GGGGAAAUCAUAUAAUGGUAGUAUCCUGUGUUUGCAUCACAGUCGUUAGGGUUCAAUUCCCUAUUUCUCCA
This 71-nucleotide transfer RNA is filed under the name Apiotrichum gracile. RNAcentral describes it as "tRNA-Ala". It matches the Rfam family "tRNA". Rfam says of the family: Transfer RNA (tRNA) molecules are approximately 80 nucleotides in length. Their secondary structure includes four short double-helical elements and three loops (D, anti-codon, and T loops). Lineage: Eukaryota; Fungi; Basidiomycota; Tremellomycetes; Trichosporonales; Trichosporonaceae. The record is from RNAcentral.